Molecule: ribosomal RNA, 492 nt
Filed under: uncultured bacterium
Lineage: Bacteria
Description: partial 16S ribosomal RNA
Rfam family: Bacterial small subunit ribosomal RNA
Source: RNAcentral
AGUGAACGCUGGCGGUAUGCCUAACACAUGCAAGUCGAACGGCAGCACAGUAAGAGCUUGCUCUUACGGGUGGCGAGUGGCGGACGGGUGAGGAAUACAUCGGAAUCUACUUUUUCGUGGGGGGUAACGUAGGGAAACUUACGCUAAUACCGCAUACGACCUACGGGUGAAAGCAGGGGAUCUUCGGACCUUGCGCGAUUGAAUGAGCCGAUGUCGGAUUAGCUAGUUGGCGGGGUAAAGGCCCACCAAGGCGACGAUCCGUAGCGGGUCUGAGAGGAUGAUCAGCCACACUGGAACUGAGACACGGUCCAGACUCCUACGGGCGGCCGCAGUGGGGAAUAUUGGCCAAUGGGCGCAAGCCUGAUCCAGCCAUACCGCGUGGGUGAAGAAGGCCUUCGGGUUGUAAAGCCCUUUUGUUGGGAAAGAAAAGCAGCAGGUUAAUACCCCGCUGUUCUGACGGUACCCAAAGAAUAAGCACCGGCUAACUUCGUG